AUAAGCGGAGGAAAAGAAACCAACCGGGAUUACCUCAGUAACGGCGAGUGAAGCGGUAACAGCUCAAAUUUGAAAUCUGGCUCCAUUCGGAGUCCGAGUUGUAAUUUGGAGAAGAUGCUUUGGGUUGUGGGUUCGGCCUAAGUUCCUUGGAACAGGACGUCAUAGAGGGUGAGAAUCCCGUAUGUGGCCGAGGCCUGCGCCCGUGUAAAGCUCUUUCGACGAGUCGAGUUGUUUGGGAAUGCAGCUCAAAAUGGGUGGUAAAUUUCAUCUAAAGCUAAAUAUGGGCCAGAGACCGAUAGCGCACAAGUAGAGUGAUCGAAAGAUGAAAAGCACUUUGGAAAGAGAGUUAAACAGCACGUGAAAUUGUUGAAAGGGAAGCGCUUGCAACCAGACUUGGGCGCUGCUGAUCAUCCAGAGUUCUCUCUGGUGCACUCGACAGCGCACAGGCCAGCAUCGGUUCGGGUGGCUGGAGAAAGACCGGCGGAACGUAGCUCUCCUUCGGGGGAGUGUUAUAGCCUCUGGUGUCAUACAGCCCAGCCGGACCGAGGACCGCGCCUUCGGGCUAGGAUGCUGGCGUAAUGGUUGUAAGCGACCCGUCUUGAAACACGGACCAAGGAGUCUAACAUCUAUGCGAGUGUUUGGGCGUUAAACCCAUACGCGGAAUGAAAGUGAACGUAGGUGAGAACCCUUUGGGGUGCAUCAUCGACC
Molecule: ribosomal RNA, 708 nt
Filed under: Erysiphe havrylenkoana
Lineage: Eukaryota; Fungi; Ascomycota; Leotiomycetes; Helotiales; Erysiphaceae
Description: eukaryotic LSU rRNA
Rfam family: Eukaryotic large subunit ribosomal RNA
Source: RNAcentral